Molecule: ribosomal RNA, 468 nt
Filed under: uncultured bacterium
Lineage: Bacteria
Description: partial 16S ribosomal RNA
Rfam family: Bacterial small subunit ribosomal RNA
Source: RNAcentral
GACGAACGCUGGCGGCGUGCUUAACACAUGCAAGUCGAACGGAAAGGCCCUGCUUUUGUGGGGUGCUCGAGUGGCGAACGGGUGAGUAACACGUGAGUAACCUGCCCUUGACUUUGGGAUAACUUCAGGAAACUGGGGCUAAUACCGGAUAGGAGCUCCUGCUGCAUGGUGGGGGUUGGAAAGUUUCGGCGGUUGGGGAUGGACUCGCGGCUUAUCAGCUUGUUGGUGGGGUAGUGGCUUACCAAGGCAUUGACGGGUAGCCGGCCUGAGAGGGUGACCGGCCACAUUGGGACGGAAAUACGGCCCAGACUCCUACGGGAGGCAGCAGGGGGGAAUAUUGCACAAUGGGCGGAAGCCGGAUGCAGCAACGCCGCGUGCGGGAUGACGGCCUUCGGGUUGUAAACCGCUUUCGCCUGUGACGAAGCGUGAGUGACGGUAAUGGGUAAAGAAGCACCGGCUAACUACGUG